RNAcentral lists this long non-coding RNA (3226 nucleotides) under Equus caballus (horse). Its description in RNAcentral is "lncRNA (ENSECAG00000053061.1)". Lineage: Eukaryota; Metazoa; Chordata; Mammalia; Perissodactyla; Equidae. The record is from RNAcentral.
CUUCAGAAUUUUGAAUUAUAUAAAAAUGUAAAUUGAACAUCUUUCUAUAACAGCAUAUAUAAGCCUACCUCAUCCUCAAGGUCGCAUAGUGUUCCAUUGUAUGGAUGGACCACAAUUUAUUUCGCCAAUGCGAGCUAGUACUAAGAUUGUUCCCCUCUUAGUGAGGAGGAAACAAAGUCUGAGGGAGAUAGUUUGCCCAAGCCAGCCACUGUUGGACUUGGCGUCUGCGUCCCAGUGGUGGGGUGGGGCAGCACAGGCCUGACCUAGCAAUCCCAUAGCCUGUACCCGGGUGGAGGCACGUCUGUCGGGGGUGGGUUCAACUCCUGUUUCUACUGUAUUUCUUCGUUUGCGACUUUCUGUUGAUCUCUCUGAUGAAUCCAGCUCCCAACAAGUAUGUCAAUGGUUUUCGAAUGUUAGCGCCCAUAAAAUCACCUGGAGGUCUUGUUAAAACACAGAUUCCUGCGCCUCCCCAAGAGACUCCUACUCAGCAGGUCUAGGGUGGGAACUGAAAUUCUGAAUUUCUGACCAGUUCGCAGGCGAUGCUGAUGCUACCAGUCCAUGGACCACACUUCGAGUAGGCAAAGUGCUCUCUAACACUAAAGCCCACACAAAUUCAGGAGAAUGUGAACUUUAGGUCUUUAUGAAGCCCUUUGUGAAUGCUGGCUAUGGUGGCAGGUAUUAUGGGGAAAAAAAGAAGCACAAUAUUGGGCCUCAUUCAUGAAGACUUAAGAAUUUAGUUGGUGAAAACAAAACAUAUGUCACAAAAACAUAAAUUUUCAGUGCAAGGAAGAGUGAGAUAAGUGCCAAAGGAAUAGUCUUUAAUUAGAAACCAGUUCGGGGGAAAAAAACAUUCUAUUUAGUGCAGACCAUUGGAUUUCUGGCAUCUACUUACAGAAUAUCAAUUUUGCUGGUAAAACUUUCCUCCUUCAUUUUAGUGUGUGCAGAAUUAGCAUUCUCCCAGAACUCCUCAACGACUGGUUUGAACCCCUGCUUGCUGACCCAUCACUUAGCUAAGACGGUCCUAAGAAGCACAUCGUCAGAAGGGAAGGCUGUCUUAGGCCGGGUCCUAGAGAAGAGCAUGAGAUAAGGAUUCUGUGCAAGUGAUUUAUUUAGGGAGAGCUCUCGGGAGGAAGCUGUGACAAGGUGAGGGAAGCAGGACAGGGCAGGGCAGGAGCAGAACAAGGAUGUGGUCUCAGUUGUGGCCUUACCUGACUCCACGGGGAGCUCUGGAGCAGGAAGGGCACAAGAGCUGCCUCACCUUGAAUCAGGGGGCCACCCUUUAGUACCCUAAUAUCAGUCAUUGACGAUGGCUACCCUUGGGUGCUGUAGCAUCAUCUCUCAGGUGAAGCAGCUCCCAUCAGCACUGGCACCUUCAUUAGGACCUUGCAGGCCUAGGGACCCCUGCACUGUGUUUUCCUGGACUUCUGACUUUCCCCAUUUCCACUCCGAUUCUCACAAUCUUUGUAAAAACUCACUUUUCAUAUUUUAUUUAGCAAGAAUUGCUCACAUCUUCUAGACACCAGGUAUUUGUGAGGUCCUAUCAGGGCCUUAAGCUCUCUGUUUCAAAGCCCACAGUGACAUCAUUUGAUAAUGAACUGUGACCUGAUGGCUAUGGGGAGAACCCUGGCACUCUCUCUCAGGGCGGUACACCUGUAAUUUACCCAGUGUGAGAUUUCAUGGCCUGCCUUUAGUCUAGCCCUCUCCUAGCCUACUCCACACUGCAGCCCCGGGAAUCUGCUGUAAAGAGAGUCUGACCACUUCAUUCUCAUGUAAGAUCUUCGAGGGGGCCCUAUUGCCCUCAGAGGAAAGUCUAAAUUCCCAGUUCUCAUCUGUAAGAUCCUUCAUGCUCUGAUACCAGCUUACCUCAUCUUUCACCUCUCCUUAAGCUUGAAGAAUGCUGAAGUGUCUGCUCACCAGGGUCUAAGGUGGUUGUAGUAUGCUGAAUAAUGGCCACCCAAAGAUAGUGAUCCUAACCCUGGAAACUGUUAGUCUUACUUUACAAGGACAAAGGGUUUUUGCAGAUGUGAUUGUUAAGGCUCUCAAGAUGGAGAGAUUAUCCUAGAUUACCCAGAUGGGCCUUAAAUGCAGUCACAAGUGUCUUUAUAAGAGAGGCAGAGGGAAAUUCCACACACACAGGAGAAAGUGAUGUGAAGACAGAGGCAGAGAUUGAAGUGAUGUGGCCACAAACCAAGGAAUGCAGGCAGCCCCCAGAAGCUGAGAGGCAAGAACAGAUUCUCCCCUGGAGCCUCCAUAGGAAGCAUGGCUCUGUCAACACCUUGAUUUCAGACUUCUAACCUCCAGAACAGUGAGACCAGCUGCCAUGAUGAAGGAGACAAAAUCUCUGCCUUCAAGGAUGAGAGGCAGAUGGAGCAGAGCUAUCCCAGCUGGCUCUCCCAGGCAAGCCCAGCCCAGACAGAAUCCCAUCUGACCCACAGAUGCGUAAGUGAGCCCAGCAGAGACCAGCAGAACCACCCAGCUCAUACCUGCUGAACCCUGCAGAAGUAAACUAUGAUGGUUUCAUGGUGACCUGAACAAGUGUUGAAUCAAAGGUCAAGAAGGGUGAGAGACAUAUUGCAGAGUGAACAAGAAAAUAGAGACAACAGGGGUUAUUAACUACUUCUCGGUAGAAGAACCAUCCAUGGUCUCUUGGUCUCAGCUCUGACUUCAGCCAUGGAUGGGUAGAUAGUUCUGUACAGGCUUUGACUCACUUCAACCAGGCAGUGUCUUACCUAUAGCGUGUAUCUUGAGUUUUCCCUUCUGUCCCAGAGCUCCCCUAAUGCCAUCGGUACUGGUGAAGCUUGUUCAGCUCUGUACAUGCAAGCUUGGAAGUAUGGGGGAAUUAACACCUCUGCGAGGUGAUUAACAACCCUCCACCCAUGGGAAUGAGAGCUGAUGGAUAAAUGCUUCUGUCUCUCAUUAUUCACAAUAGCCAAGACAUGGAAACAAACUGUGUCCAUCAACAGAUAAAUAAAGAAAAAAUAUAUAUGUGUGUGUGUGUGUCUACACACACACACACACAGAUAUAUAUACAAAAUGGAAUAUUCGGCCUUAAAAAAGAAGGAAAUCCUGUCAUUUGAGACAACACGGAUAGACCUUGAGGGUAUUAUGCUAAGUGAAAUAAGUUAGACAGAGAGACACAAGUAGUGUAUGACCUUAGUUACAUGUGGAAUCUAAAAAACUAGCCAAAUUCAUAGAAACAGAGACGAGAAUAGUGGCUGCCAAGGGC